GGGCCCGUGGCUCAGCUUGGUUAGAGCGCACGGCUGAUAACCGUGAUGUCCUGGGUUCGAAUCCCAGCGGGCCCA
RNAcentral lists this transfer RNA (75 nucleotides) under Methanobacterium sp. RNAcentral's name for it is "tRNA-Ile". It matches the Rfam family "tRNA". From Rfam's summary of the family: Transfer RNA (tRNA) molecules are approximately 80 nucleotides in length. Lineage: Archaea; Methanobacteriati; Methanobacteriota; Methanobacteria; Methanobacteriales; Methanobacteriaceae. RNAcentral also lists the same sequence under 1 other name. The record is from RNAcentral.